UACGGUACACAUUUUUUAUUUGUUUAGAGCAUUGACAUUGACAUUUAUAACAAUGCUACUGAGAUUUGAAAAAAAAAUGUUAUAUAUAUACUUCGUUAAAUGCGUUGAUUUAAAAAACGAACCCCAAAUUUGAAGGAAACGUUCAGACUUUAAAAAUGAUACACAAAUCCAUCCAUGCAUUUCAUCCUUUUAACUAAGCAAAGCUCCCCUUUCAGACCUUGCGAUCUAUAUUAUAAAUUAUUAUAGGCCUAUAUACUCUUUCUCUGCUAAUUCACGAUACCAUCGUUGAUUUGACU
Biomphalaria pfeifferi is the source of this 296-nucleotide non-coding RNA. The record is from the annotation of a GenBank genome assembly. NCBI's taxonomy places the organism in Eukaryota, Metazoa, Mollusca, Gastropoda, Planorbidae.